CAGCCGCCGCGGUAGUACGAAGGGGGCUAGCGUUGCUCGGAAUCACUGGGCGUAAAGGGUGCGUAGGCGGGUUUUUAAGUCAGAGGUGAAAUCCUGGAGCUCAACUCCAGAACUGCCUUUGAUACUGGGAAUCUUGAGUAUGGAAGAGGUGAGUGGAAUUCCGAGUGUAGCGGUGGAAUGCGCAGAUAUCAGGAGGAACACCAAUAGCGAAGGCAGCUCGCUGGGACGUUACUGACACUGAGGCGCGAAAGCGUGGGGAGCGAACAGGAUUAGAUACCCGCGUAGUCCCUGUCUCUUAUCC
Molecule: ribosomal RNA, 301 nt
Filed under: uncultured bacterium
Lineage: Bacteria
Description: partial 16S ribosomal RNA
Rfam family: Bacterial small subunit ribosomal RNA
Source: RNAcentral